AGUAAAAAUAAAACGAAGGACACUCUAACGUCGUAUGUGACAUCACCCCGUGAAGCGCCUAUCGCCUCCCCUCCCACGCUCGAUCGAUAUUCCUUCCUCUCCCCUGGGUGUGCUUCUUUUCUUUUAUACGUGUGAUCCUUUUUCGUUGUUGCUUUCAGUUGCUAACUCGGCGUUCUGGCGUUUGCCUGCUGUGCCAUACCUCCACGACAUCGUGGUUGCUUCUCACCACUCACCACGUCCCUUGCACUAAAUCUUCACUGCACCCCACCCACCUCUCUCCCCCUCGCUGUCCUUCUCCCUUUCCAUCGCGCCAUUUGGCGAAGACAAAAAGAUGCCCGCAAACUCGUGGGCUUCCUCUCGCGAUGUGUUCCCUGAGUCGGUCCGCGCGUUGAUGUCGCUGUGGGGAGGGUUUUCGAACCCCACCAGUUACAGCGACAGCGGACUCGAGAAGCGUCUCGAGUUCGACUUCGCCGCCGCCGUGGAUGUGCGAACGUUCACGGUGGAGGAGCUUGAGGACGUGCUGGCGGCAGCUGGGCAGAGGCUGCAGCACCACUCCUCUGCAGAUGGUCUGCUAUCGCUAGAGAUGACGCAGUGCAUUAUCAUUUUGACACCGUGCAAGCUGGUGGUGACAUCCGCGUCUGAGGUGAUGCUGCACCAGGUGAUCACCCCCACCAUCGCCCUUCUCACAUCGAAGGGCGUGCGUGUGGAGUGGGCCUCGUACCUGCGCAAGAACAUCACCUCGCCAUGGUGCGCCGAGAGCGAGAUGAGCGACAUCAUGGCGCAGGAGUACGCGGAGCUCAAGGCCGCCUUCCCGGCCGGCAAGUCCUUCCUGACGGGCCCGGUGGAUGGUCAUCACUGCUUCAAUUUCGUGUACGACAACGUUGAAAGGAUGGCGGGGCGUAAGGAGGAGGACGUGCAGGUGAACGUGUUCCUCUACGACGUCGCUGCGGGUCUGGAGGAGGUGGACAAGACAACGCAGCGUUUCCACGCGCUGCAAAGUGGCGAGUACGAAGUGAUGCGCACCUUCGCUGGUGUGCCGUGCAUUUCCUUCGAGACCAACGCCAAGGCUGCUGUAGCGUCUCCGACGCGCGUGCAGAAGCUCCUCGACACCUUUCAGCCUGCCCACUUCACGGUUGCCGCCCUCCAGGACAGAGACGCCGACGGGUUAGCGCUGCGUCGCAACUUCAACUCCUUCACCCCCUACACGCUGCAGAACCGAACGGUGAACUUAUUUGGUGAAGGAUACGCCUUCCACCAACUGCUGUUCGCCCGCAGCGCAGAUUAAGAGAGUGGGAAAGGAGGAGGAACUUUACACAGCAUAAAGAAGGGCUCAGGGUGCGAAAGACGGAGAGACAGCCCAGAUCUGUACUUCAUCGAUGGCCGCGUGUGCUGUGACUCCUCUGCUGAGCUUAACGUUCACCACACACCUCCCCUCCACCCUGCUCGCACAGAGACGAUAUGCAUGCACAGCUGCCAGUUGUGCUCUUCGCGGCACGCGUGCGCCUUCUCUCGCGCGCUCCUCCUCCUCCUCCUCCCUCCUCCCUCCCCCCUCUCCGCAUACGUGCCUACAUGUAUCUUUGCUGACUCUCCGCACCGUUGAUCAGCGAAUAGGUGUUUUUUUUGUCCGUUCCUUUUUUUUUCUGAUACUUGACACCAUUUUCAGCUCUUCGUUUAUUCGUUAUCCCCCCUCCACCCGUUUCUCCAUGGACGCACUUUGAGAUGCGCCUCUGUUGUUUCCGUCACCCAGGCACGCGCACCCACACGAACGUACAUUGAUUUACGGACGUGCGAUCUCGGAAACUGCUGCACCAGCUCUCACCGACUCCGUGUCUUGCUCCUCAGGAGAAGAGACUUUCCCUGUCUUCUCGCCCUCAUAUGAAUUUGAAGCCCCCGAUGACGGGAGGCACGCCGCAGCGCGUGGCAUCCUCAUGGCCCCGGGCCGCCCCUCCCCCCUAUCCCCCUAUCCCUAUCCCUGCCAGUGCCGAGCCGCCUCGGGUGGUGACAGGGGCACCUACGGCGUGGGAAAGUCAGAGCGAUGCAUGGCUGCUGAUGCCGGUGCUCAGGUCGUAGAUGGCGUUGCGUCGGAGCGACCUGCGGCAGCGAGCGCGUUUGCACCACCCACAUGAUGGGCAGGGUGUCAGCGUGACCCAAGCGUGUCUCGCCCGGCCCUCGCUGCUUACUGGGGGAGAGCUUGGAGCGCCACCCCGAGGGAGAUGCACCGGCGGGGCGGCCGGCAUGAUGGGAGCGGCUGUGAGGUAACCUGCGAGGCAGAGGUGGGUAGAGUACGAGGCAGGGCCCGUGCGCAGGUGGCCGAGCCGGUGCGCUGCCGUAAUGCACGUGCCGGCCGCUGCGUUGCACCGGGCGACGGGGCCUGUGACGUGCCCGGGGGUGUCUGAAGAGGAGCUGAGCUCGUGCUCUGUGGCAGAACGGACUUGCUGAAACGAACAGCUCGGUCGAGGUUGAGACAAAGUUGAGCACAAAUGAUGUAUUUCACACGUAAGAGGACGGCGAUGCCGGGGCGAAGACGAGUUGGGAUUGCGUGCGGGGCCGUGUGAGUGGAAAGGGAAAGCUAAGUUGAACUUGCGAAACUGAACUCUUAGCUUUUCUUGUACCUGUUCUGCACAAGUGUCAAGUGACGCGGUGAAGCGCUUGGGCCCCCGCCCCGCCUUCGCACACAUUUUUCGAAGCGUUCAUCUGUGCAUUAUUCCCUGUUGAAACACUUUUUUUUUUUCACCGGUGUUUACGCAUGCCGGUAAACGCGGCGAGAACCAUAG
This 2774-nucleotide unclassified non-coding RNA is filed under the name Leishmania donovani. Its description in RNAcentral is "gene:LdHU3.30.4220(CDS-product:S-adenosylmethioni ne_decarboxylase_proenzyme-_like_putative)". The record is from RNAcentral. Lineage: Eukaryota; Euglenozoa; Kinetoplastea; Trypanosomatida; Trypanosomatidae.